This 1246-nucleotide ribosomal RNA is filed under the name metagenome. RNAcentral describes it as "bacterial LSU rRNA". It matches the Rfam family "Bacterial large subunit ribosomal RNA", at positions 1564 to 2819 of the family's 2925-position model. The record is from RNAcentral.
CGAAUACGAGAUGCUACGGCGUCGAAGCAGUGUAUGUCAGACUUCCAAGAAAAGCUCGCAAUGUCAUAAAUAAAGAAUGCCUGUACCAUAACCGACACAGGUGGGUAGGUAGAGUAUACUAAGGGGCGCGAGAUAACUCUCUCUAAGGAACUCGGCAAAAUAACUCCGUAACUUCGGGAGAAGGAGUGCCUUCUUUAAGAAGGUUGCAAUAACAAGAUCCAAGCAACUGUUUAUCAAAAACACAGGUCUCCGCUAAGUCGUAAGACGAUGUAUGGGGGCUGACGCCUGCCCAGUGCCAGAAGGUUAAAGAAGCUGGUUAGCAAUAGCGAAGCUGGUGACUGAAGCCCUGGUGAACGGCGGCCGUAACUAUAACGGUCCUAAGGUAGCGAAAUUCCUUGUCGGGUAAGUUCCGACCCGCACGAAAGGCGUAAUGAUUUGGAUACUGUCUCGGAGAGGGACUCGGUGAAAUAGACUUGUCUGUGAAGAUGCGGACUACCUGCACCAGGACAGAAAGACCCUAUGAAGCUUUACUGUAACCUGAAAUUGAAAUUGGACUUUAUUUGCGCAGUAUAGGUGGGAGGCGUUGAAAGUAAUCUUGCGGGAUUAGUGGAGCCAUCAGUGAGAUACCACUCCUAUAAUGUUAGAUUUCUAACUUUGGAUCAUGAUCUGGUCAAAGAACAGUUUCAGGCGGGCAGUUUGACUGGGGCGGUCGCCUCCCAAAUGGUAACGGAGGCGUACAAAGGUUUCCUCUGAACGGGUAGAAAUCGUAUCUAGAGUGUAAAGGCAUAAGGAAGCUUGACUGUGAGACCUACAAGUCGAGCAGGGACGAAAGUCGGUCUUAGUGAUCUGACGGUGCUGAGUGGAAAGGCCGUCACUCAACGGAUAAAAGUUACUCUAGGAUAACAGGCUGAUCUCCCCCAAGAGUUCACAUCGACGGGGAGGUUUGGCACCUCGAUGUCGGCUCAUCGCAUCCUGGGGCGGUAGUACGUCCCAAGGGUUGGGCUGUUCGCCCAUGAAAGCGGUACGCGAGCUGGGUUCAGAACGUCGUGAGACAGUUCGGUCCAUAUCCGGUGUAGGCGUUAGAAUAUUGAGAGGAGCCUUCUCUAGUACGAGAGGACCGAGAAGGACAUACCUCUGGUGUACCAGUUAUCGUGCCAACGGUAAACGCUGGGUAGCUAUGUAUGGAGAGGAUAACCGCUGAAAGCAUCUAAGUGGGAAGCCCACCUCAAGAUGAGUAUUCUCAUCA